Molecule: transfer-messenger RNA, 374 nt
Filed under: bacterium
Lineage: Bacteria
Also listed under: 1 other name
Description: GCA-002707645 sp002693365 Standard tmRNA
Rfam family: transfer-messenger RNA
About the family: Bacterial tmRNA, also known as 10Sa RNA or SsrA, is named for its dual tRNA and mRNA-like properties.
Source: RNAcentral
GGGGGCGAUUGGCUUCGACGGGUAAUGAAGAGCUUAUAAUUGCAUGUGGAGCAUUACUCUAUAAACUCCUUAAACUUUAGGGUACAUUCUAAAUAGCGAAUAUAGCUAUACUGCUGUUGCUUAAUUAAGCUUAACAGCCAUCUCUUAGUUAUUUGUAUGCGGUAACUUUUCGAGGUGUCAAUUAGCAUGCUAUGUUAAGUCUCUACCUGAUGAUUCUUAAAUGAAAAUAACUUUACUUCGGUAAAUAUUCAGGAUAAUUUUAUUUUAUUGUGACUUUUCAAGAAAAUAAAAUGAAAUCAAAAAAGAGUCUAAACAUGUAGAUAUUAUUUGGUAUUCUUAUUCGGACCGCGGUUCGAUUCCGCGCGCCUCCACGA